RNAcentral lists this ribosomal RNA (594 nucleotides) under Alternaria sp. OUCMBI101266. Its description in RNAcentral is "eukaryotic LSU rRNA". The stretch from base 178 to 331 matches the Rfam family "5.8S ribosomal RNA". Lineage: Eukaryota; Fungi; Ascomycota; Dothideomycetes; Pleosporales; Pleosporaceae. The record is from RNAcentral.
ACCUGCGGAGUCUUACCAAAUAUGAGGCGGGCUGGACCUCUCGGGGUUACAGGCUUGCUGAAUUGUUCACCCUUGUCUUUUGCGGACUUCUUGUUUCCUUGGGGGGUUCGCCCACCACUAGGACAAAGAUAAACCUUUUGUAAUUGCAAUCCCCGUCAGUAACAAAUUAAUAAUUACAACUUUCAACAACGGAUCUCUUGUUUCUGGCAUCUAUGAAGAACGCAUCGAAUGGCUAUAAGUACUGUGAAUUGCACAAUUCAGUGAAUCAUCGAAUCUUUGAACGCACAUUGCGCCCUUUGGUAUUCCAAAGGGCAUGCCUGGUCCAGCGUCAUUUGUACCCUCAAGCUUUGGUUGGAGUUGGGCGUCUUGUCUCUAGCUUUGCUGGAGACUCGCCUUAAAGUAAUUGGCAGCCGGCCUACUGGUUUCUGAACGCAAUUGAAGUCCGACUCUCUGUCAGCAAAGGGCUAGCAUCCAUUAAGCCUUUUUUUCAACUUUUGACCUCGGAUCAAGUAGGGAUACCCGCUGAACUUAACCAUAUCAAUAAGGCGGAGGAACUGAACUUAAGCAUAUCAAUAAGACGGAAGAACGCUAUGG